RNAcentral lists this ribosomal RNA (434 nucleotides) under uncultured bacterium. Its description in RNAcentral is "partial 16S ribosomal RNA". It matches the Rfam family "Bacterial small subunit ribosomal RNA", at positions 28 to 506 of the family's 1533-position model. The record is from RNAcentral.
GAUGAACGCUGGCGGUAUGCUUAACACAUGCAAGUCGAACGGACUCUUCGGAGUUAGUGGCGGACGGGUGAGUAACGCGUGAGAAUCUGGCUUUGGGUUCGGGACAACCACUGGAAACGGUGGCUAAUACCGGAUGUGCCGAGAGGUAAAAGAGAGAUUGCCUGAAGAUGAGCUCGCGUCUGAUUAGCUAGUUGGUGAGGUAAAGGCUCACCAAGGCAGCGAUCAGUAGCUGGUCUGAGAGGAUGACCAGCCACACUGGGACUGAGACACGGCCCAGACUCCUACGGGAGGCAGCAGUGGGGAAUUUUCCGCAAUGGGCGAAAGCCUGACGGAGCAAUACCGCGUGAGGGAAGAAGGCUCUUGGGUUGUAAACCUCUUUUCUUAGGGAAGAACAAAAUGACGGUACCUAAGGAAUCAGCAUCGGCUAACUCCGU